Non-coding RNA from Melanotaenia boesemani (Boeseman's rainbowfish), 662 nucleotides. Lineage: Eukaryota; Metazoa; Chordata; Actinopteri; Atheriniformes; Melanotaeniidae. The record is from the annotation of a RefSeq genome assembly.
UCCACAUGAUCAGAGAACGUCACACCCCGCACUGACACACCUUCCUGCAUCUCUUCAUCUCUGUGGAACUACACUGAUAGAUAACUGAGCUUUUAAUUAGUUUUAGAACAUGACUGCUAUCAGACAUGGUCUCCUCAGCUUGUUGGUGUUUGUACUCUGGAUGAAAGGUCUGACUGAUGGAAGUGAUGUUAACCAGACCCCCAUACUGUGGAGGAAGAAGGGUGAAAAUGCAGCAAUACGAUGUGACCACACGAAGGGUGCUACUUACUUCCAGAUGUACUGGUAUCAACAGCUGCCAGGGGAGGGAAUGAAGGAAAUAGUUUUUACUUCAGUUAAUUCUCAACAUAAAUAUACAAACGGCUUCAGUGAGGAGAAAUUCCCAGCAGAGAAGAAAAAUGCUCAGACUGGAUCUCUGACAGUAAAGAAGCUGGAGCCUCAAGACAGCGGAGUGUAUUUCUGUUCUGUGAGUCAACACAGUGAUGCAGGUGGUUUAAAGAGCUGCACAAAAACCCAACAGCUGCUCCCAGUGAACUGAAGACAUCAUUUUUAAUCAUCUGUAGAGGGAGCUCUAGACCUGGAGACUUUAUCAUCAGAUUAGUUGAAUAUUUACUACUUUCUAUGAUCAUGGUGCCGUUCACAUCAUUUUACAGAUAGUGACAACA